AACGAACGCUGGUGGCAGGCUUAACACAUGCAAGUCGAACGACCUGGCGGCUUCGGUCCCCGAUGCUAGUGGCGCACGGGUGAGUAAAACGUGUGAAUAUGCCCUCUAGUACGGAAUAACCCAGGGAAACUUUGGCUAAUACAGUAUACGCCCUCCGGGGGUGAGAUUUAUCGCGCAAGGAUUAGCGCGCUUCUGAUUAGGUAGUUGGCGAGGUAAUGGCUCACCAAGCGGACGAUCAAUAGCUGGGCUGAGAGGCUGAUCAGCCACACUGGGAGUGAGCAGCAGCCCGGACUCCUACGGGAGGCAGCAGUGGGGAAUACUGGAAAGCGGCGGCAACGCUGAAGGAGCCAUGCCGGGUGAGUGAAGAAGUCCGGAGGGUAGUAAAGCGCUUUCGACGGGGACGAUGAUGACGGUACCCGUAGAAGAAGCCCCGGCAAACUACGUG
Molecule: ribosomal RNA, 445 nt
Filed under: uncultured bacterium
Lineage: Bacteria
Description: partial 16S ribosomal RNA
Rfam family: Bacterial small subunit ribosomal RNA
Source: RNAcentral